CCCAGACAGCCAGGAUGUUGGCUUAGAAGCAGCCAUCAUUUAAAGAAAGCGUAAUAGCUCACUGGUCGAGUCGGCCUGCGCGGAAGAUGUAACGGGGCUAAACCAUGCACCGAAGCUGCGGCAGCGACACUGUGUGUUGUUGGGUAGGGGAGCGUUCUGUAAGCCUGCGAAGGUGGCCUGUGAGGGUUGCUGGAGGUAUCAGAAGUGCGAAUGCUGACAUAAGUAACGAUAAAGCGGGUGAAAAGCCCGCUCGCCGGAAGACCAAGGGUUCCUGUCCAACGUUAAUCGGGGCAGGGUGAGUCGACCCCUAAGGCGAGGCCGAAAGGCGUAGUCGAUGGGAAACGGGUUAAUAUUCCCGUA
RNAcentral lists this ribosomal RNA (360 nucleotides) under Salmonella enterica subsp. enterica serovar Kentucky. Its description in RNAcentral is "partial 23S ribosomal RNA". It matches the Rfam family "Bacterial large subunit ribosomal RNA", at positions 1084 to 1443 of the family's 2925-position model. The record is from RNAcentral. Lineage: Bacteria; Pseudomonadati; Pseudomonadota; Gammaproteobacteria; Enterobacterales; Enterobacteriaceae.